This 1333-nucleotide ribosomal RNA is filed under the name Microbacterium hatanonis. Its description in RNAcentral is "bacterial SSU rRNA". It matches the Rfam family "Bacterial small subunit ribosomal RNA", at positions 68 to 1412 of the family's 1533-position model. The record is from RNAcentral. Lineage: Bacteria; Bacillati; Actinomycetota; Actinomycetes; Micrococcales; Microbacteriaceae.
GGUGAAGGAGAGCUUGCUCUUUGGAUCAGUGGCGAACGGGUGAGUAACACGUGAGCAAUCUGCCCCUGACUCUGGGAUAACAGUUGGAAACAGCUGCUAAUACCGGAUACGAGACGUGACCGCAUGGUCGACGUUUGGAAAGAAUUUCGGUCAGGGAUGAGCUCGCGGCCUAUCAGCUUGUUGGUGAGGUAAUGGCUCACCAAGGCGUCGACGGGUAGCCGGCCUGAGAGGGUGACCGGCCACACUGGGACUGAGACACGGCCCAGACUCCUACGGGAGGCAGCAGUGGGGAAUAUUGCACAAUGGGCGAAAGCCUGAUGCAGCAACGCCGCGUGAGGGACGACGGCCUUCGGGUUGUAAACCUCUUUUAGCAGGGAAGAAGCGAAAGUGACGGUACCUGCAGAAAAAGCGCCGGCUAACUACGUGCCAGCAGCCGCGGUAAUACGUAGGGCGCAAGCGUUAUCCGGAAUUAUUGGGCGUAAAGAGCUCGUAGGCGGUUUGUCGCGUCUGCUGUGAAAACUGGAGGCUCAACCUCCAGCCUGCAGUGGGUACGGGCAGACUAGAGUGCGGUAGGGGAGAUUGGAAUUCCUGGUGUAGCGGUGGAAUGCGCAGAUAUCAGGAGGAACACCGAUGGCGAAGGCAGAUCUCUGGGCCGUAACUGACGCUGAGGAGCGAAAGGGUGGGGAGCAAACAGGCUUAGAUACCCUGGUAGUCCACCCCGUAAACGUUGGGAACUAGUUGUGGGGUCCAUUCCACGGAUUCCGUGACGCAGCUAACGCAUUAAGUUCCCCGCCUGGGGAGUACGGCCGCAAGGCUAAAACUCAAAGGAAUUGACGGGGACCCGCACAAGCGGCGGAGCAUGCGGAUUAAUUCGAUGCAACGCGAAGAACCUUACCAAGGCUUGACAUAUACGAGAACGGGCUAGAAAUAGUCAACUCUUUGGACACUCGUAAACAGGUGGUGCAUGGUUGUCGUCAGCUCGUGUCGUGAGAUGUUGGGUUAAGUCCCGCAACGAGCGCAACCCUCGUUCUAUGUUGCCAGCACGUAAUGGUGGGAACUCAUGGGAUACUGCCGGGGUCAACUCGGAGGAAGGUGGGGAUGACGUCAAAUCAUCAUGCCCCUUAUGUCUUGGGCUUCACGCAUGCUACAAUGGCCGGUACAAAGGGCUGCAAUACCGUAAGGUGGAGCGAAUCCCAAAAAGCCGGUCCCAGUUCGGAUUGAGGUCUGCAACUCGACCUCAUGAAGUCGGAGUCGCUAGUAAUCGCAGAUCAGCAACGCUGCGGUGAAUACGUUCCCGGGUCUUGUACACACCGCCCGUCAAGUCAUGAAAGUC